Molecule: ribosomal RNA, 253 nt
Filed under: uncultured bacterium
Lineage: Bacteria
Also listed under: 3 other names
Description: partial 16S ribosomal RNA
Rfam family: Bacterial small subunit ribosomal RNA
Source: RNAcentral
UACGGAGGGUGCAAGCGUUAUCCGGAUUCACUGGGUUUAAAGGGUGCGUAGGCGGCUAUAUAAGUCAGUGGUGAAAGCCCGCAGCUCAACUGCGGAAUUGCCAUUGAAACUGCAUAGCUUGAAUCUGGUUGAAGUGGGCGGAAUACAUCAUGUAGCGGUGAAAUGCUUAGAUAUGAUGUAGAACACCGAUUGCGAAGGCAGCUCACUAAGCCAACAUUGACGCUGAGGCACGAAAGCGUGGGUAGCGAACAGG